This 497-nucleotide ribosomal RNA is filed under the name uncultured bacterium. RNAcentral's name for it is "partial 16S ribosomal RNA". It matches the Rfam family "Bacterial small subunit ribosomal RNA", at positions 28 to 507 of the family's 1533-position model. The record is from RNAcentral.
GAUGAACGCUGGCGGCGUGCCUAAUACAUGCAAGUCGAGCGAACAGACGAGGAGCUUGCUCCUCUGACGUUAGCGGCGGACGGGUGAGUAACACGUGGAUAACCUACCUAUAAGACUGGGAUAACUUCGGGAAACCGGAGCUAAUACCGGAUAAUAUAUUGAACCGCAUGGUUCAAUAGUGAAAGACGGUUUUGCUGUCACUUAUAGAUGGAUCCGCGCCGCAUUAGCUAGUUGGUAAGGUAACGGCUUACCAAGGCAACGAUGCGUAGCCGACCUGAGAGGGGGAUCGGCCACACUGGAACGGAGACACGGUCCAGACUCCUACGGGAGGCAGCAGUAGGGAAUCUUCCGCAAUGGGCGAAAGCCUGACGGAGCAACGCCGCGUGAGUGAUGAAGGUCUUCGGAUCGUAAAACUCUGUUAUGAGGGAAGAACAAAUGUGUAAGUAACUAUGCACGUCUUGACGGUACCUAAUCAGAAAGCCACGGCUAACUACGUG